RNAcentral lists this ribosomal RNA (373 nucleotides) under uncultured bacterium. RNAcentral describes it as "bacterial SSU rRNA". It matches the Rfam family "Bacterial small subunit ribosomal RNA", at positions 28 to 404 of the family's 1533-position model. The record is from RNAcentral.
GAUGAACGCUAGCGGCAGGCUUAACACAUGCAAGUCGAGGGGUAUAGUAGCAAUACUAGAGACCGGCGCACGGGUGCGUAACGCGUAUGCAACCUACCUUUUACAGAGGGAUAGCCCAGAGAAAUUUGGAUUAAUACCUCAUAGUGUUAUUAGAUGGCAUCAUUUGAUAACUAAAGUUCCAACGGUAAAGAUGGGCAUGCGUCCUAUUAGCUAGAUGGUAAGGUAACGGCUUACCAUGGCUACGAUAGGUAGGGGUCCUGAGAGGGAGAUCCCCCACACUGGUACUGAGACACGGACCAGACUCCUACGGAGGCAGCAGUGAGGGAAUAUUGGACGAAUGGGUCGCAAGACCUGAUCCAGCCAUGCCGCGUGC